CAAAGAAUAGUUUAAUUUAAGAAUUUUAGCUUUGGGAGCUAAAGAUGGGAGUUAAAAUCUCUCUUCUUUGA
Molecule: transfer RNA, 71 nt
Filed under: Priolepis latifascima
Lineage: Eukaryota; Metazoa; Chordata; Actinopteri; Gobiiformes; Gobiidae
Description: tRNA-Pro
Rfam family: tRNA
About the family: Transfer RNA (tRNA) molecules are approximately 80 nucleotides in length. Their secondary structure includes four short double-helical elements and three loops (D, anti-codon, and T loops).
Source: RNAcentral